This 572-nucleotide ribosomal RNA is filed under the name uncultured fungus. RNAcentral's name for it is "eukaryotic LSU rRNA". The stretch from base 189 to 342 matches the Rfam family "5.8S ribosomal RNA". The record is from RNAcentral. Lineage: Eukaryota; Fungi.
CUUGGUCAUUUAGAGGAAGUAACGGUCGUAACAAGGUUUCCGUAGGUGAACCUGCGGAAGGAUCAUUAACAAAUCAUUGCGGGCUUCGGCUCACAUUAACCCGGCCGCGAGGCCAGGUCUUGUAGACCUUGCAAGAGGUCAACAUUAACGCUUGCAUGUUUGACUGUGUGAUGGAUCAAUAAAAUGACAACUUUUAACAAUGGAUCUCUUGGCUCUUGCAACGAUGAAGAACGCAGUAAAGUGCGAAAUGUAAUGCGAUUUGCAUGAAUCUGUGAGUCAUCAAGUCUUUGAACGCAACUUGCACUCUUGGCGUAAGUCAAGAGUAUACCUGUUUGAGAAUUGUAUCCUCUUCACGCAAGUGAAUGUGAUCCUUCAAGGCGCAAGCUUUAGGAUUUAAAUGAAGGAGAAGGGCGGUGGCCACUAGUUGCCAGCAUUGUGUGAUAGAGACCCCUGGGUCUACUCAUGAUGCUGGUGGCGCUGGCCAACAUCUAACCCUUCUAUAAACUUCUUGUCUUCAAUCUCAAAUCAGGUAAGGCUACCCGCUGAACUUAAGCAUAUCAAUAAGCGGAGGA